Molecule: RNA transcript, 682 nt
Organism: Odobenus rosmarus divergens (Pacific walrus)
Lineage: Eukaryota; Metazoa; Chordata; Mammalia; Carnivora; Odobenidae
Exons: 3
Source: RefSeq, a predicted model, not a curated record
GUAGAAUUCUACGCAAUUUGGAAUCAACAAAGACUGAGCUGUGUCUGUGUAGAAAUCUCCUGGAAGCAAACUUUCAAGGACAGGGGAAUGAGGCAGGACCCAGGCUGUACAACUGGGGACCAGAAAGAUGCCUGGGACCUGAAUGUUCAGGACGUUCAUGAUGAGAACAAUGAACAGACUUCCUCUUUUUCCUCCAAGGUCGUUUUAAAGCUUCUAAAAAUUAAGCCACACCACCGAACCCAGGCUGAAAUUUUACACUGCCUGGCGAUAAUAAAUUCAGCAUCAAGAAGAACAUGUAUUUGCAAGAGUGCCCCUGGUUUGCUGACUUUGCAGAAUGGGAAAAAAAAAAAGGGGACAUGGUAACACCAUUUCUAUUUGCCACACUGUUGUUUUUCAUUUUCCGGUGAGACUGUAGACCCCACCUGCAUUUCAUUUGUUCCCUCAUUUUUGUUCAUGUUUCACUUUUUCUUUGUCGCGCCUCAUCCUCCGGAUUUAACAGCGCUCCAUUGGCCAUGCAUAACGUGUACCCCACAUCCUCUCGAUCUGUUAAGGCAUUUUCUGUGUGCAUUUCAUGGCAGAUUCUGAUUGUAAAUUGGUUGUAGAAACUUCACUGGCUUCCUGUCUGUGACAUUUCUGAUGGAUGGUCCCUAUUUAUACAGAACAGCAUGGCGUGUGCAGAGUU